RNAcentral lists this ribosomal RNA (301 nucleotides) under uncultured bacterium. RNAcentral's name for it is "partial 16S ribosomal RNA". It matches the Rfam family "Bacterial small subunit ribosomal RNA", at positions 509 to 807 of the family's 1533-position model. The record is from RNAcentral.
CAGUCGCCACGGUAAAACGAAGGGGGCUAGCGUUGCUCGGAAUGACUGGGCGUAAGGGGCGCGUAGGCGGUUCGUACAGUUGGAUGUGAAAUUCCUGGGCUUAACCUGGGGGCUGCAUUCAAUACGUGCGGGCUUGAGUGUGGAAGAGGGUUGUGGAAUUCCCAGUGUAGAGGUGAAAUUCGUAGAUAUUGGGAAGAACACCGGUGGCGAAGGCGGCAACCUGGUCCAUAACUGACGCUGAGGCGCGAAAGCGUGGGGAGCAAACAGGAUUAGAUACCCGAGUAGUCCCUGUCUCUUAUAC